GCAUUACAGGAAGUUUUGGAGAGGAGAAGCUGAUCAGCAACAAGGAGCCUGAGCAGGUACGGUGCGGGCCUUUCCCAGGCGUGGCUGAGGAUUUGAGGUGAGGUAGAAUGGAUGCCACGGGCAGCCUCACAGCCACAGUGCUGGAG
This is a long non-coding RNA of Dromaius novaehollandiae (emu), 146 nucleotides long. RefSeq lists it as uncharacterized. The transcript has 3 exons. Lineage: Eukaryota; Metazoa; Chordata; Aves; Casuariiformes; Dromaiidae. The record is from RefSeq and is a predicted model, not a curated record.